UAGGGAAUUUUCGUCAAUGGGGGAAACCCUGAACGAGCAAUGCCGCGUGAGUGAAGAAGGUCUUCGGAUCGUAAAGCUCUGUUGUAAGUGAAGAACGGCUCAUAGAGGAAAUGCUACGGGAGUGACGGUAGCUUACCAGAAAGCCACGGCUAACUACGCGCCAGCAGCCGCGGUAAUACGUAGGUGGCAAGCGUUAUCCGGAAUCAUUGGGCGUAAAGGGUGCGUAGGUGGCGUACUAAGUCUGUAGUAAAAGGCAAUGGCUCAACCAUUGUAAGGUAUGGAAACUGGUAUGCUGGAGUGCAGAAGGGGGCGAUGGAAUUCCAUGUGUAGCGGUAAAAUGCGUAGAUAAAUGGAGGAACACCAGUGGCGAAGGCGGUCGCCUGGUCUAUAACAGACACUGAGGCACGAAAGCGUGGGGAGCAAAUAGG
Molecule: ribosomal RNA, 428 nt
Filed under: Acidobacteriota bacterium
Lineage: Bacteria; Pseudomonadati; Acidobacteriota
Description: Acidobacteria bacterium partial 16S ribosomal RNA
Rfam family: Bacterial small subunit ribosomal RNA
Source: RNAcentral